This 301-nucleotide ribosomal RNA is filed under the name Glomus sp. 2-Mutompo. RNAcentral describes it as "SSU rRNA". It matches the Rfam family "Eukaryotic small subunit ribosomal RNA", at positions 1407 to 1707 of the family's 1831-position model. The record is from RNAcentral. Lineage: Eukaryota; Fungi; Glomeromycota; Glomeromycetes; Glomerales; Glomeraceae.
CUUCUUANAGGGGCUAUCGGUGUUUAACCGAUGGAAGUUUGAGGCAAUAACAGGUCUGUGAUGCCCUUAGAUGUUCUGGNCCGCACGCGCGCUACACUGAUGAAGUCAUCGAGUUCAUUUCCUUCAUCGGAAGAUGUGGGUAAUCUUUUGAAACUUCAUCGUGCUGGGGAUAGAGCUUUGCAAUUAUUGCUCUUGAACGAGGAAUCCCUAGUAAGUACAAGUCAUCAGCUUGUGCUGAUUACGUCCCUGCCCUUUGUACCCACCGCCCGUCGCUACUACCGAUUGAAUGGCUUAGUGAGGC